CAAUUGAGCAGUUGUCUGUCGCGGUGGUCGGCCGGGUUGCGUGCCGCCUGCUGCGAGAUGCACCAAUAAGCCCGAACCCACCGGCUUGGUGACCACCGCACGCUGCGUGUGGG
This 113-nucleotide small RNA is filed under the name Mycobacterium tuberculosis H37Rv. Its description in RNAcentral is "npcR 4925". The record is from RNAcentral. Lineage: Bacteria; Bacillati; Actinomycetota; Actinomycetes; Mycobacteriales; Mycobacteriaceae.